AAAUAAAAAAAGAUGGGAUUAUUAUAAUGAAAGUGUAUGCUGACAUUAUAAUAAUCUUGUCUAUGUUCUAAAUACAAAAUACCUUCACGAGGUUUAGAAUGAGUGAUAUAAGGAAGUUAUAUUAGCUAAAUUAUUGUUUGAUGGAUGAGUUGAUUGAUUAUAAAAAGCUUGUGUAGUUAGGUGUAGAGAAGAAUAUCUAGGUAUGUUUAUGUUAGAAACGUUUUUAUUUUUUUAGCUGUUUAUAUCAAGGAUAUGUACAUGUAACAACAUACUUCUCUUAUCA
This 283-nucleotide unclassified non-coding RNA is filed under the name Nosema bombycis. The record is from RNAcentral. Lineage: Eukaryota; Fungi; Microsporidia; Nosematidae.